UCCGGUUUGUCACCGGCAGUCUCCCUAGAGUCCCCACCAUUACGUGCUGGCAACUAAGGACAAGGGUUGCGCUCGUUGCGGGACUUAACCCAACAUCUCACGACACGAGCUGACGACAGCCAUGCACCACCUGUCACGGGCCCUUACGGACACUGUAUUCCUACAGCUUUUCCCGUGAUGUCAAACCCAGGUAAGGUUCUUCGGGUUGCAUCGAAUUAAGCCGCAUGCUCCGCCGCUUGUGCGGGGACCCGUCAAUUCCUUUGAGUUUUAGCCUUGCGGCCGUACUCCCCAGGCGGGAUACUUAAUGCGUUAGCUUCGGCACGGCAGCCAUUGGUAUAACCGCCACACCUAGCGCCCACCGUUUACGGCGUGGACUAC
Molecule: unclassified non-coding RNA, 378 nt
Filed under: uncultured Acidimicrobiia bacterium
Lineage: Bacteria; Bacillati; Actinomycetota; Acidimicrobiia
Description: contains 16S-23S intergenic spacer region
Source: RNAcentral